AUUGAACGCUGGCGGCAGGCCUAACACAUGCAAGUCGAGCGGAAGAAGGGAGCUUGCUCCUGGAUUCAGCGGCGGACGGGUGAGUAAUGCCUAGGAAUCUGCCUGGUAGUGGGGGAUAACGUCCGGAAACGGGCGCUAAUACCGCAUACGUCCUGAGGAAGAAAGUGGGGGAUCUUCGGACCUCACGCUAUCAGAUGAGCCUAGGUCGGAUUAGCUAGUUGGUGGGGUAAAGGCCUACCAAGGCGACGAUCCGUAACUGGUCUGAGAGGAUGAUCAGUCACACUGGAACUGAGACACGGUCCAGACUCCUACGGGAGGCAGCAGUGGGGAAUAUUGGACAAUGGGCGAAAGCCUGAUCCAGCCAUACCGCGUGUGUGAAGAAGGUCUUCGGAUUGUAAAGCACUUUUAGUUGGGAGGAAGGGCAGUAAGUUAAUACCUUGCUGUUUUGACGUUACCAACAGAAUAAGCACCGGCUAACUUCGUG
This 484-nucleotide ribosomal RNA is filed under the name uncultured bacterium. RNAcentral describes it as "partial 16S ribosomal RNA". It matches the Rfam family "Bacterial small subunit ribosomal RNA", at positions 30 to 507 of the family's 1533-position model. The record is from RNAcentral.